CCUACGGGUGGCAGCAGUGAGGAAUAUUGGUCAAUGGGCGCUAGCCUGAACCAGCCAAGUAGCGUGAAGGAUGACUGCCCUAUGGGUUGUAAACUUCUUUUAUAUGGGAAUAAAAUGCAGUAUGUAUACUUCUUUGCAUGUACCUUAUGAAUAAGGAUCGGCUAACUCCGUGCCAGCAGCCGCGGUAAUACGGAGGAUCCGAGCGUUAUCCGGAUUUAUUGGGUUUAAAGGGAGCGUAGGCGGGUUGUUAAGUCAGUUGUGAAAGUUUGCGGCUCAACCGUAAAAUUGCAGUUGAUACUGGCAUCCUUGAGUACAGUAGAGGUAGGCGGAAUUCGUGGUGUAGCGGUGAAAUGCUUAGAUAUCACGAAGAACUCCGAUUGCGAAGGCAGCCUACUAGACUGUCACUGACGCUGAUGCUCGAAAGUGUGGGUAUCAAACAGGAUUAGAUACACCAGUAGUC
This 460-nucleotide ribosomal RNA is filed under the name uncultured bacterium. Its description in RNAcentral is "partial 16S ribosomal RNA". It matches the Rfam family "Bacterial small subunit ribosomal RNA", at positions 338 to 795 of the family's 1533-position model. The record is from RNAcentral.